GUCACACUCAGAGACACACUUGUUGUAUGUGGCGGAGAAGAAGCGUCCCAAGGCUGAGUCCUUCUUUCAGACCAAAGCCUUGGACAUCAGUGCCAGCGAUGAUGAGAUGGCCAGGCCGAAGAAGCCAGACCAGGCCAUCAAGGUGCUUGUGGUGUGGCCAGGCCACGAAGGCCCCGCUGGGCAGCCCUGCAUCACUGUAUCCAGUGGACCUGGGAGGCCCGAAUGUCUAGGAGGCAGGGCAGGGUUCUGAAGGCACUGGGCAUUGAGUGUCCUCUGUUCUCAGGGGGACCAGUUUGUAUUUUAUGAAGACUGGGGAGAAACGAUGGUUUCCAAAAGCAUCCCUGUGCUCUGCGUGCUAGAUAUCGACAGUGGCAACAUCUCUGUGCUUGAGGG
RNAcentral lists this long non-coding RNA (393 nucleotides) under Rattus norvegicus (Norway rat). RNAcentral describes it as "long non-coding RNA NONRATT028987". Lineage: Eukaryota; Metazoa; Chordata; Mammalia; Rodentia; Muridae. The record is from RNAcentral.